AGAGGAUGUAGUGCUAAUGGAUAACACGCCGGCUUUGGGAGCCGGAAUUGCGGUUCAAAUCCGACAUCUUCUACCA
Molecule: transfer RNA, 76 nt
Filed under: Flavonifractor sp. An4
Lineage: Bacteria; Bacillati; Bacillota; Clostridia; Eubacteriales; Oscillospiraceae
Description: tRNA-Pro
Rfam family: tRNA
About the family: Transfer RNA (tRNA) molecules are approximately 80 nucleotides in length. Their secondary structure includes four short double-helical elements and three loops (D, anti-codon, and T loops). Further hydrogen bonds mediate the characteristic L-shaped molecular structure. tRNAs have two regions of fundamental functional importance: the anti-codon, which is responsible for specific mRNA codon recognition, and the 3' end, to which the tRNAs corresponding amino acid is attached (by aminoacyl-tRNA synthetases). tRNAs cope with the degeneracy of the genetic code in two manners: having more than one tRNA (with a specific anti-codon) for a particular amino acid; and 'wobble' base-pairing, i.e. permitting non-standard base-pairing at the 3rd anti-codon position.
Source: RNAcentral